Molecule: transfer RNA, 72 nt
Filed under: Starmerella bacillaris
Lineage: Eukaryota; Fungi; Ascomycota; Dipodascomycetes; Dipodascales; Trichomonascaceae
Description: tRNA-Met
Rfam family: tRNA
About the family: Transfer RNA (tRNA) molecules are approximately 80 nucleotides in length. Their secondary structure includes four short double-helical elements and three loops (D, anti-codon, and T loops). Further hydrogen bonds mediate the characteristic L-shaped molecular structure. tRNAs have two regions of fundamental functional importance: the anti-codon, which is responsible for specific mRNA codon recognition, and the 3' end, to which the tRNAs corresponding amino acid is attached (by aminoacyl-tRNA synthetases). tRNAs cope with the degeneracy of the genetic code in two manners: having more than one tRNA (with a specific anti-codon) for a particular amino acid; and 'wobble' base-pairing, i.e. permitting non-standard base-pairing at the 3rd anti-codon position.
Source: RNAcentral
AGCAAUAUAGUGUAAUAGUUAACAUAUAAGAUUCAUGAUCUUAUGCUACAAGUUCAAAUCUUGUUGUUGCUA